AUAUCCUAGCCAGAUCCGGCUGCCAAAACAAAUACACAGUGGACUGGGUGGGGUGGGAAGGUUAAACAAUCAAUAUUUAUUUCUGGCAGGUUGGGAGGGUGGGAAGUCCGAGAUCAAAGCACAGGGUGAUCUGACAUCUGGUGAGGGCCGCCCCAUCCGGGUGUGCAGCUAGCACCUUCUCCCCUUUCUCUGGGCCCCAAUCCCAACUAGAGGGCUCCCCCUUCAGCAUCUUCUCCUCUCCAAAGGCCCCACCUCCACGUACCGUGCGGGGAUUGGAGCUGCACCACACCAGCUCUGCGGGACGACCUCCCGCCUAGCACCCAGGAUGUUGGGUGCCUGGGACGGGGUCGAAGCCGAGACAGGAAGCGCCUGGAGGGAAGGUGCGCUCCUCAGAGGCAGGCCCCAUCCAGACCAGUUCAUCAGCUGAGGGAAUAAAUCAAUGAGAGGGAGCAGAGGAGUGGAGCAGUAGGAAUAUGGGCGGGAAGACGGCGCCGGAAGUUGCCCUCACUCGGCGUUAGAGCACACGUCCUUCCCCUGCGGCGCGGAGGAGGUGCCUGUUCUGUGGUCCCAGCUCUCCCGAGUGAGUCAGAGGUGUGCAAGAGGGACGGGCGAGGAGACACAGAGUUGAUGCCCCGCCCGGCCUGGCCUUUGGCCAGUCCGAGUCUCAGGCCCGCUGCCCCGGGCUUCCCAUCCCUGCGCUCCAAGCCUGUCCCCCUGGGGCCUCCCAGGCCUGUCCACUGAUCGCCCCAUGGGCCGUGCCCCGUGGAGUGGCACAGUUCCUCCUCACUCGGGAGCCUCAUGCGACUUCUCUUCUCCGCACGCCUAUGGGCUCCAGAAAUGACUCAUCUCCGUGGGGCUGCACUCGGCGGUCUUCUCUCACUUCCUGCCUGCUCUCUGCACCACACGUGCUCCCAGGUGAGCCCUGGAGUCUCUCUGCACCACACGUGCUCCCAGGUGAGCCCUGGAGACACACCUGGAUGUACAGGUGCCACUGGAGGUGGAGAGGACGGGGUCAGGUGCAGCGCUAGGGGCAGGUGGUUCCAGAAUCAAGACCUCAGCAAGCGAGGGCCACGGCCAGCAUGGGAACCAAAGCACUGCACUGGGAGGCAACUUCCCGCCCUGCCCAGCAUGACUGAAGCGGCCUCCCGUCAUCCUGGGCAGCCAUGCCUGGCAGCCAGAGGCGGCGAACUCAGGGACAGGAGGCUGCUGAGAUUCCCACUGCACCUCUGGGAAGUACGGGGCUUGGCACAACGGCCCCCACUCGUGGGUACACUCAGUCUAGUUGCUGCUGAGAGACGAAUGGCUUUACCCAGGGGCUGUGGGCAGCGUAGGGCCGUCGAGGGGCUGCACACGUGGACAGUUUACUGCAGCUUAGAUUCCAAACACGCUUUGACCGCGGUGUGUGGGAGGGUGGAUUCCAGGGCAUGUGAGGGCUGGACAAUGACCCAGAGGAUCCCUAUCACUAAGUCAUCAUUUAUCUUGGAAUUAAGGAAAAUAUGGCGGCUGGUUCUCUCCUCUGCCCCUUUUUUCUGCAGGCGGGUUUCCAUGCGGGUUUUCUGGACACUCUGUGACUUCUCCGCUCAAACAUCCCCCUUCUUCCGAAGCCCUGGGUGCUUACUGCACAAAACUGGCAUCGACCCAGGGUCCCAGGCCAGGACCACUGCUUCUAGGGGGUCUGACUCCGGCAUGUGGGGCCUCUUCCACAUCUCCAUCGGGCAGGCAGGGAGGGGGGACACUUGUGCUGCUGCCAGAGGCUGUCUCCUUAAAAUAUUCCAGUCACAUCGCCGGCGGUGCAGCCGUACCCCGGGUGCAUUGUAACUGAGGGAGAAUUUCAUUUUGUUUUUGAAAUGCUGUUAUUACACACUCAGGAAACCCACAAAGGCACCUUGGCAGGACAGGAUCAAAUAAAUACCUGAACUCAGAGUGCAGCAACAUUUACUUAGCAAAUGACAUUUUAAUGCUGCUAGUUGAAUUUACAUACUAAUUAAAAUUUCCCUUUAAAACAUUGAGACUUUUGGCCUCCCUGCCUCCCCGUGAUGACAAAGAUUAUUAUGUCCUGUCAGGCAGAGUUUCCCGUGAUCGGUGGGGACACAUUUGCAGCAUCCCCUGAUUGCUUCCCCAGACAGAAUUCAGUGCCAGGCCUCCUGCACGCCCGUCUGCUGCUCUGGGCUGGGCUGGAGUCACAAGGGAGUCCCUGUCCUCCAACUCCGGAUCACUGCCAGCUGGGGGCCUUGACAGCAACGGAAGUCAUGGCUGCCUUGUUGGGAUGGGGCCCGAGGCCUUUAUAAUCCAGUGCGAUGCCCUCAGGAGCAUUCUUCCUGGGCUUUGGUGGUCUCGGCAUAACUGGAGAGAAAGGCCAAGGCCCACUGGAUGGAGCAAACUGCGGGCUCUAUUCUGGUCCUGAGCCGAGUCUCACUAGGCUGGUCCCAGGGCCUCUGCCCCCUGGCACCAAAGCUGCUGCCUCUCUGAUCCCUGCUCUUCCACUCCGGUGGAGGCACCGGGUUUUUCUGUUUGGGGCAGCAGCCCCUCCUGGGUACUGGAUGAGUAAGCGGGGGCCCAGGUGGCCCCACUUCCACCGAGGCCGAGUAGACCUCCCCUUCCCUUCGGCUCCUGUGCUGGAAAUGUGCCCGUGCUCCCUGCCCAG
This is a long non-coding RNA of Fukomys damarensis (Damara mole-rat), 2644 nucleotides long. NCBI's taxonomy places the organism in Eukaryota, Metazoa, Chordata, Mammalia, Rodentia, Bathyergidae. The record is from Ensembl.